RNAcentral lists this ribosomal RNA (461 nucleotides) under uncultured bacterium. RNAcentral's name for it is "partial 16S ribosomal RNA". It matches the Rfam family "Bacterial small subunit ribosomal RNA", at positions 29 to 507 of the family's 1533-position model. The record is from RNAcentral.
AUGAACGCUGACAGAAUGCUUAACACAUGCAAGUCUUUGGCGAAGCUGUGCUUGCACCGCCUAGCCAAGGCGGACGGGUGAGUAACGCGUAAGGAACUUGCCCUGCAGUCAGGGAUAACAGACGGAAACGACUGAUAAGACCUGGUAAAGUCAGGCGGACUCAUGUCCAGCCUGAUGAAAAGAGAUGCUGCAGGAGAGCCUUGCGUCCUAUUAGCUUGUUGGUGGGGUAACGGCCCACCAAGGCGAUGAUAGGUAGCCGGCCUGAGAGGGUGGACGGCCACAAGGGGACUGAGAUACGGCCCUUACUCCUACGGGAGGCAGCAGUGGGGAAUAUUGGACAAUGGGGGCAACCCUGAUCCAGCCAUUCUGUGUGCACGAUGAAGGUUUUCGGAUUGUAAAGUGCUUUCAGCAGGGAAGAAAAAAUGACGGUACCUGCAGAAGAAGCGACGGCUAAAUACGUG